This 214-nucleotide unclassified non-coding RNA is filed under the name uncultured fungus. RNAcentral's name for it is "sequence contains ITS1, 5.8S rRNA gene". The stretch from base 166 to 214 matches the Rfam family "5.8S ribosomal RNA", at positions 1 to 49 of the family's 154-position model. The record is from RNAcentral. Lineage: Eukaryota; Fungi.
UUUCCGUAGGGUAAGAACAAUCCAAAUAUCCAUUUUAGAAUAUCUACUAACAGUUGAAUAGUGAACCUGCGGAAGGAUCAUUACCGAGAAAGGCUCUUCUGAGCCAAUUCUCCACCCAAUGUCUUAAAACACCUUUUAAACUCUGAAUAAACUUCUGAGAAUAAAAACUUUCAACAACGGAUCUCUUGGUUCUGGCAUCGAUGAAGAACGCAGC